Non-coding RNA from Gossypium hirsutum (cotton), 86 nucleotides. Lineage: Eukaryota; Viridiplantae; Streptophyta; Magnoliopsida; Malvales; Malvaceae. The record is from Rfam.
CCUGGGGGAGCGUUUGUCCAUGUCAGCACAAAGCGCUUCCUUGAUGGCGUGCUUUGUGUUGACAUGGACAAAAUGCUCCCCCAGGG